RNAcentral lists this ribosomal RNA (493 nucleotides) under uncultured bacterium. RNAcentral describes it as "bacterial SSU rRNA". It matches the Rfam family "Bacterial small subunit ribosomal RNA", at positions 33 to 507 of the family's 1533-position model. The record is from RNAcentral.
AGGACGACGCUGGCGGUGUGCUUAACACAUGCAAGUGGUGCGACGAACCAGAGCUUGCUCUGGGGCAAAGCCGCGAACGGGUGAGUAACACGUGGGUAAUCUACCCCGAUGACCGGGACAACCCGAGGAAACUCGGGCUAAUACCGGAUGUGGUACGGAGACGUAAGUCUCUUUACUAAAGGUAGCUUCGGCUUCCGCAUUGGGAGGGGCCCGCGGCCCAUUAGCUAGUUGGUGGGGUCAAGGCCUACCAAGGCAACGAUGGGUAGCUGGUCUGAGAGGACGAUCAGCCACACUGGGACUGAGACACGGCCCAGACUCCUACGGGAGGCAGCAGUGGGGAAUCUUGCGCAAUGCGCGAAAGCGUGACGCAGCAACACCGCGUGAGGGAAGACGGCCUUAGGGUUGUAACCUCUUUCAGAUGGGACGAAGGUGAUGCGGUGAAUAGCCGAUGUCAUUGACGGUACCGUCAGAAGAAGCUCCGGCUAACUACGUG